Molecule: ribosomal RNA, 254 nt
Filed under: uncultured bacterium
Lineage: Bacteria
Description: partial 16S ribosomal RNA
Rfam family: Bacterial small subunit ribosomal RNA
Source: RNAcentral
UACGUAGGGGGCAAGCGUUGUCCGGAUUUAUUGGGCGUAAAGAGCGUGUAGGCGGUUUGGUAGGUCCGCUGUGAAAACUCGAGCUCAACCUCGAGACGCCGGUGGAAACCAUCAGACUAGAGUCCGGAAGAGGAGAGUGGAAUUCCUGGUGUAGCGGUGAAAUGCGCAGAUAUCAGGAAGAACACCGGUGGCGAAGGCGGCAUCCUGGACCGGCAUUGACGCGUGAGGCGACGAAAGCCAGGGGAGCAAACAGG